RNAcentral lists this ribosomal RNA (119 nucleotides) under Scophthalmus maximus (turbot). Lineage: Eukaryota; Metazoa; Chordata; Actinopteri; Pleuronectiformes; Scophthalmidae. The record is from RNAcentral.
GCUUACGGCCACACCGCCUGGUUCACGCCCGAUCUCGUUUGAUCUCGGAAGCUAAGAUAGGGUGGGCCUGGUUAGUACUUGGAUGGCAGACCGCCUGGGAAUACCAGGUGUUGUAAGAU